This 200-nucleotide unclassified non-coding RNA is filed under the name Thelephoraceae sp. RNAcentral's name for it is "partial internal transcribed spacer 2". The record is from RNAcentral. Lineage: Eukaryota; Fungi; Basidiomycota; Agaricomycetes; Thelephorales; Thelephoraceae.
UUAAGUUCAGCGGGUAGUCCUACCUGAUUUGAGAUCAAACGUUCAAAAAGAUGUCUUCACUGAGGGGAGACAUUUAUAAGCUCCAGCAAACCUCCAUUGCUGAAGGUUACCAGGUGGUCAACCACAAGCGUAGAUAGUUAUCACACCCAUGACGCCACCAAAAACUGGCAAGCUGAUUCAUUUGAGAGGAGCUGACCAUA